This 131-nucleotide unclassified non-coding RNA is filed under the name uncultured fungus. Its description in RNAcentral is "sequence contains ITS1". The record is from RNAcentral. Lineage: Eukaryota; Fungi.
UUAUUGAUUAUAAUUUAUACGUUCGUUACACUAUUGUUUGUAGGUCCGGAGACCACGGUGCACAGGUGUUUGGAUAUGAAGAGCCGGAGCUCAAAUCACUAAUGAUCCUUCCGCAGGUUCACCUACGGAAA